GACGAACGCUGGCGGCGUGCCUAAUACAUGCAAGUCGAACGCUUCUUUCCUCCCGAGUGCUUGCACUCAAUUGGAAAGAGGAGUGGCGGACGGGUGAGUAACACGUGGGUAACCUACCCAUCAGAGGGGGAUAACACUUGUAAACAGGUGCUAAUACCGCAUAACAGUUUAUGCCGCAUGGCAUAAGAGUGAAAGGCGCUUUCGGGUGUCGCUGAUGGAUGGACCCGCGGUGCAUUAGCUAGUUGGUGAGGUAACGGCUCACCAAGGCCACGAUGCAUAGCCGACCUGAGAGGGUGAUCGGCCACACUGGGACUGAGACACGGCCCAGACUCCUACGGGAGGCAGCAGUAGGGAAUCUUCGGCAAUGGACGAAAGUCUGACCGAGCAACGCCGCGUGAGUGAAGAAGGUUUUCGGAUCGUAAAACUCUGUUGUUAGAGAAGAACAAGGACGUUAGUAACUGAACGUCCCCUGACGGUAUCUAACCAGAAAGCCACGGCUAACUACGUG
This 508-nucleotide ribosomal RNA is filed under the name uncultured bacterium. RNAcentral describes it as "partial 16S ribosomal RNA". It matches the Rfam family "Bacterial small subunit ribosomal RNA", at positions 28 to 507 of the family's 1533-position model. The record is from RNAcentral.